GAUGCUAAGCGCAUAUGAGACCUGCCCUUACGCGGUAAGGAGAAAAGAAAUGCCUCACUUAAGCUAGAUGGAUGCAUUUGCUCAAUGAUGUUUCAUUUCGAAAGCUAGGCUCUUGUGAUAUAUUGCACAUUCCAAAAGGAAAAAAAUAACUUUGGAAUAUACACCUGAAAACUCAGCCUUAGGCCCUAAUAUGGUCUUUGAUAAGUAAAUAUUCAUUGGGAAUGCAACCCUCAAAGUACAGAGAACAAAUGGUCCUGGGUUCAUUGAGCCGUCCAAGUCCCAAAUACUAUGGUAGAGACACAAAGGUAGAAUUAUCAACAGGUCUUAACUUUCCUGGCUUCAAGAGUGUAUCAGAGUUUAGGGAGUGGUGAUGUAUGAUAAUCUCAUUUUCCCAAAUUAAAGAUUAGGGGCCAUGGUAACCUGUGUGGUCUUACAAACCUGAGAGUGGGAUUAUUCUUAAAGUCCCGGGAUGCAUGCAUGCUCCUCUUUCCGCGUGAAUUCCGGACUGUAGCCAGGCUGAUCUCGUCGUCCCUAACCUUGGCCCCACAUCUUCCUGCUGCCUCUCUUGAGCUCAUGCAGUGUCCCUUUCUUGGAAUACCCUCCUUUCUAUUGUUCUAACUAUUGAAGCCUAACCUUUAUCCAAGACCCAGUUAAUAUUCUACUUCUUUGUGAAGUCAACCUAAACCAUCUCAGCCCACAAUAAACUUUAGAAUACCUCUAGCCCUUAUUGUUUACACUCUUACUUGGCAUUUAACAGAUGCCAAGGCGGCAUUGCAGACCUACUUACGUAGUACGGAUCCCAUUUCCCCAAUUACACUACGGCGGGGAGUGAUCAUACCACAUGCAUCCUUGCGUUCACUAGACUGGUUAUGGGAUCAGAUCCAUGUAGGCUCUCCUUAAAUUUAAGAUGUUAAUGAGAAUGUGGAUAUUGUCUUUACUCUUUUUUUUUUUUGGCGGUGGGGGGGUGCGGUGGUGGUCAGAUUGUCUCCGCUUUUAGCCCAUUCCGUGAUGUGUAUGAGAAAUCUGCCCUUACGUGGUGGAGGGGAAAAGAAAUGGUGUAGGCUCUGAAUCCUGCUUAUGUCUUUGACAUUGAAAAUUGCAGUGAUGACUGUUGUCAAAGUUAUCUCUUGGGAUAACAUCUCUUUAAAACCAGGUGUCUCAAAUUCAAAUGCUUUCUGAGGGUCAGUCAAGUAACCUAGUAGGACUGUGCCCACCCAGCUCCAUUUUCUUGCCCCGAGGGAACACAGGGCACUAAGCCACGCCUGUCCAUCAGAGCUGAGUGUGUUCAAGCCCCAGCGUGUGCCCAGCUCUAACUCCAUUCACAAUCCAUGGUCUUUGAACUCACUGCUGGGCAGCUUGAUCUCUUGUUAGAGCCCUCUUGCCACCCUGCCUUAAUGCAAAUGCCUGUCUGGACCCAAAUGCAAAGACCCGUCUCCAGGUCUACCCUGACCGAGGGUGACCUCUUUGCACAGAGCCCAGUUGAUUCUCAGUUAUCGAUAAAGUCUCUCUGAGGCAAGGCUUUUUGUUGACUUCCACCUCUACCCCGAGUUUGGGAGCCAAAGGUGCUCAUCAAACCCCAACUCUCUGCUGCCCUCCACAGGCCAUUGACCUCAUUGCCUUUGCCAUUUCGUCUGGUUAACUCUGGCUCCCAGGCGAUACAAAGGUCUUAUAGCCUGAGAUGGAUCAUGUAUUUUUGUGCCCAGUGCUUUUGUGUGUGUGGUCAUUCAUUUCUGUUCAGCUUGUGUGUGGAUAGGUUCUUUCUUCUUGACUUACUUGCAGUUCUUAUAGGUACAUUCUGGGUUUUCUUCCUUCCACACCCACCAUCUUUUCUCCCCCUUCUACUUAAAAUAGCAGCACCAUGAAAUACAAGUCAGUUAUUUUGGUAAAGAUAGUAUGGUUUAACUGAAAGCUUGUGAUUUUUGGAGUAAGAAAGAUCUGAGUUUUAAUCCGGACUCUACCAAUGACUGGCUCUAUGAACUUGGGCAAUAUUUUUCUGUUUUGUUCCUCUCUAAAGAGGGCAUUAUGUAAUAAUAUGCAAGCAAAACUGACUCAUAGAUAAUGCUUAAUCCUGGGUUUUCCCCCUCUUCUUCGUGAAGUCUUUUCACUUUGAGUAAGGUCGCCAGUCUUGCUAUAGAAAUUAGCAGUCACUGUGUGGGAGACAUUUAUCAUCUCCUUCCCCCACCCUCCCCCGUCUUUGUUGUCUUCAGACAUGGCCUCUUAGGUUCAGGAGAGAGAAUACACAUUGGGCAGAUGUUUCAUCAGCAAGCCCAGCACUUUCUCCGAGCACCGACUGAUGGAUCUUACUUGACCUGCCAGCUCAGGAACCAUCCUUUGACUGUGAGCCUUAACCCUCAUGAAAUGUUACAUGAAAACUAGACAGGCUGCUCUGUCCCGCUGAACAAAACUGGGUCUGGAGGAGCUCCCUGGAAGGCUAGGGGCUAGUUUUUCAGCAUAAGAGCCACAUGUGAUUCUAUUAGUGACCUCAGUCCAGGGCAGGACCUUAUCCCCCUGACCAGCUGUUGAAUUUUCACUGCCUCAGAAAUUUUAUGGACCUUAUCAUGCAAUCAUCAGAAGAGCCUUGUGUGUUAGGCUCUUGUUCCCAUUUUAUAGAUGAGGCAACCGAGGCUUGGAGAAAUGGAAGUUACUUUCUGAAGGUUAUAUAGCUAGCCAAGGUCAAAGCUGGGAUUUGAACCAAGGUCUGACCAGACACAAAGUAUUGUGUUCCACUAUGUCUAAAAACCAGGGAUUCUGAGAGCCAGCCCGCGGGGAGGGGUAGCCUGGAGGGGUACCCCUGCACGGGUAUCUUCACGGGGCUCUUCACAGAGUCCCGGUGUUCCCACCUCAUCGCUCGCUGGGGGCUCUUAAGGGGUAAGUGGAAGGCCAUUUUUAACUAUAAUCCUGUACGAUACGAAUGUCACAUCAGAGCCUUUGUCUGUUGCUGAUCCAGUGUUGAUUGAUAGGUUACAUUUUUAAAAAUUGCAUCAGUAAUUCAUGCUUUAUUACUCCUGAAUUAGCGUAAUGGUUCAAAUCAUCUUGUUGUAAUUCAGCAUAAUUAUCUAUAAUUAAAAAUAAAUUCCUGUAGGGUGAGAAUACGAAUUCCUCUCCAAAUCUCUUUAUUUCAACUGUGCCUAUCAGCCGUUACCCCGCUUUCACCCAGCAACUCUGGGCGCUUAUUGGGGAACUGACCUUGCUCUGCCUCAUGAGUUCACACUUUCCAGACCAUCGCUUCAUCUUCUCUCUUUGGGGUCAGCGUCUCUCCCAGGAUUUUGUGUUAGUAAAUGUUCUCUAAGUUAUUGGCUUUGGGGAGUUCCCUUUGCGACUUAGCAGUAAACGAACCUGACUGGGAUCCAUGAAGAUGCAGGUUAGAUCCUUGGCCUCACUCAGUGGGUUAAGGUUGUGGCGUUCCUGUGAGCUGUGGUGUAGGUUGCAGGUGGGGCUUGGAUCCUGAGUUUCUGUGGCUGUGGUGUGAUCCAGCAGCUGUACCUCUGAUUUGAUCCCUAGCCUGUGAACUUCCAGAUGCCAAGGGUGCGACCCUAAAAGAGAAAAAAAAAAAAAAAAAGUUAUUGGCUUUUGUUUGUGGUUUAGUUCAUGUGCAGAUUCUGAUGGAAGCCAGGAAGCACAUUCAGGACAAAAACUCACAGGCACCUAUGCACAGAUGGUGUAUGGAAUUUCAGGAGAAUCAAGGAUCCCCUGGGUCCCAGUUUCUCCAAUUGGGGUCCCCAGACCAGCAGCAGCAGCAUUCCUGGGAACUUGUUAGAGAGACAGAUCCUUUGGCCCACUGAAUCGGAAACUCUGAGGGUGAGGACCAGUAAUCAGGGUGUUGACGAGCUUUCCAGGUGCUUCUGCUGAGCAGAAGUUAGAGGACCUUGGUAUGAGGUUAGAGCCGUGCCCUGGCUGGAUGUCCUUCACCCACUGCAGUGACACUCUGCCCUCCGUGAGCAGAAAGGGCGAUGGAUCCUUGUAGUGCUGAUCUGGUUGUUCACUGGGUGUUAUAGCUGCUCCACCUUUCAGCCCAAGGAUGCAUUUUCUCACAGGCAGCAAGGAGGAGGCGGGUGGCCCCACCACCGGACUUGCCAGGACACCCCAGGAAAAUGCUCCAGGUGCCUGCAAACAUUCGAGAAGAUCCAAGUGGUGAUAGGAAUGGUUCUCUCCCUGGGUACAUUCCUGUCUUUAGAUUGCUCCCCAGCCCCACCUGUCCUGGUCUAGGAGCCAUCCCUGCCCUCGAGGCCAGAGCAGGCAGAGGCCCAGUGUGAUUAGGGGGAAUACCGCCUGGUGCUUAGUUUCAAAAAGUCAACUUUUGGAGUCAGUCUUUGUUUUUCCAUGCAGGAAGUUUUACUUCUCGUCCAACUAACUCAGUCAUUAGACCUGACUUUUUUUUUUUUUUUAAACCAUUUUCCAUGUUUAAGUUUUAUUACGUGAGGAAAAAUUACUUAGAUUUGUAAAGAAGUUCUCUGCUAAUGCCUGAAUCUUUCUUGAGCCUGCGCUUCAACACACAGGGUUUAUUGCCUUAGUCAGACACAGUGAUUUGUCCUCUCUUAAUUCUUAUCUCUUCUCCACCUAAACCCACUCGCCGUCCUCCCAAAUGUAGUGCUUGGAAUUCAAAAACAUGAAGAAGAAGAAUUGGUAAAGUGAGCUUCUGUUAAUAGAUGAAUGCUGUCUCUGUGUGUGUUUCCUCUUUAGAAUGUGGGAAGAAGCUUUGGGGGGGAGGGGCAUGUGUUUUACAUUUUUCGUUUUAUUAUUUCAGCGCAUUAGAAUUUACCUUGAGUCUUACUAGAAGGGUACAUCUGAGAGUGUGGAGGUGGCAUUAUUCAUUACGUGGACCGGUUGGCUUCUCUGUGUUCAGUGGCCAAAUCCAUUAAAAAUUCAUGUUGUUAGUUUCAAGGAAGGACUGUAUUGGAGAAUGUGAAAAAAAAAAAAAAAGAAUUAUGGGGAAAGCUGAGACACCUUCAGAAAGGGGAAUCAGCACACGCUUUACGUAAGCUCCUCUGUGCUGAAUAUUUUCUUCGCCUUUGGGAGACAGCCUUCUUCUCUUUCGUUCAGACCCAGACGGAGUGUCAUGACCCUUUCUCCCGAGACUGUCUUUGGUCCCACGUUCAUUGUACACGUACAGCAUCGUUCUUCCCUUCCCUCAUCAAGGCUCCUGUGUUUGUAACUGUUUAAAACCUUGUUUCUUGGGUGCUAGCCUGCCUGUCUUGUUGGGUCGCCCUGUUUCCUUUGUGUGGGUUUCCCGCAUGGUUUUGGAGAAGGGGGUGUUUCAGGAGCUGAGUGAAAGCUCAUGCCCACCAUUGAGGACGCCACCCAAAGUGUCUCCAUGAUGCCCUUUUCCUUCCUGCCCUGGCGGCUUCACUCUUCUGCCUGGAGGUCGCUCUCCCAUCGUUGCCUUCACAUCUCAGCACAAAUAUCUCUGCUCCUUGAAGACUUUUCCAUCCAUCUGACCACCUCCAUGCUGGGUGAGUUAUCUUUAUUUUCAUUUUCCUUGCAUUUCCAAGUUUCUAAAUGUCUCUUUCUGGUGAUGUGAUUAAAACCUGCCUUCCCUGCCUCCAGGAGGUCAGGGGCCUGGUCUGCUUGUCUAUAGUGAGUGCUCAAAAGUUUUUUUGGCUCAAUAAAUGCAUUUUCUCAUUGAAUUUUUAAAAUAAUGCAUAGAACUUGGACCUGACAAUUCUUAGGGAGCUCCAGCCCUUCUUUCUUCUGCUUUCCUACUUUAACCGUAAGGUGAGAGCAUCUGUCCUUUUGUUUCACUCUUCACCAAAUGCAGGAGCACCUGACUUUAUCUGGCAAGUUCGAGAAGAGCAACGCUUGUCACGUAUGUCUGCCUGCACAUGAGCCAUGCACUGCUCAUGCCUGCUGGUCUGAAAGCUAACGUUGGGGUCUGUGGUCCUGGGCGAUUCCAGCUGGCUUAUUCAGAGGUGGGAAGAUCUGCCUAUUUCCAGCCUAAAGCCCACUUGGCACUGGUUUGAGCCACUUCUCCAGUCUGGCUUUAUCGAUCAACCUGACACUCUGACCUCCAUCUCUCUGACCUUUUACUUUUCUCAAUGAGUUGGUACUUAGGAUGCUAAAAGUUGGGUGUUAAUUUGGUUUUUCUAACCAAAAAUGGCAUCUUUCUUAGAUUUUCCCUUAACUGUUGUAACUGAUGCCCUUGUCCCCUGAGCUAACCAGGUAUGAAGGCCUUUUCUGUUUUCUGCAAAUCAUGGUUUAAGUUUUACUGUGUUUCUUUUUUCCACGGAAACUCCUUAUGAAAGUUUCAGUAACUCCUAAGGCCAUCCCAGAGUCACUGGCGGGAGGGGUCUGUUGCAUCUCGGUUGCCUGCCUCACCCUGACUUCUGAUAAGAAAACUGUGGCAAGCAGAUCUGACUCUGAACUUACCAACAGUCUCCCCUGCAUCAAAAAUUGACAGAACAUUGUAAAUCAACUCUAAUAAAAAAAUUUUUUUUCAAAAAAAAGAGAAGGGAGUUCCCAUUGUGGCUCAGUGGUAAACAAACCCGACUAGUAUCCAUGAGGAUGUGGGUUUGACCCCUGGCCUCGCUCAGUGGGUUAAGGAUCCAGCAUUGCCGUGAGCUGUGGUGUAGAUUGAAGACUGGACUCAGAUCCCACGUUGCUGUGGCUGUAGAGUAGGCCAGUGGCUGCAGCUCCAGUUCGACCCCUGGGCCUGGGAACCUCCAUAGCCUGCCUUUGUGGCCCUAAAAAGACAAAAGACAAAAAAUAAAUAAAGAAAAAAGAAAAAAAAAAA
This 6727-nucleotide long non-coding RNA is filed under the name Sus scrofa (pig). Its description in RNAcentral is "lncRNA (ENSSSCG00005012547.1)". The record is from RNAcentral. Lineage: Eukaryota; Metazoa; Chordata; Mammalia; Artiodactyla; Suidae.